This 551-nucleotide ribosomal RNA is filed under the name Sejanus brittoni. Its description in RNAcentral is "partial 16S ribosomal RNA". It matches the Rfam family "Bacterial large subunit ribosomal RNA", at positions 1796 to 2622 of the family's 2925-position model. The record is from RNAcentral. Lineage: Eukaryota; Metazoa; Arthropoda; Insecta; Hemiptera; Miridae.
UCGCCUGUUUAUCAAAAACAUGGUUUUUUGUUUAUAUAAAAGAUCUGGCCUGCCCAGUGAUAUUUUAAAUGGCUGCAGUAUACUGACUGUACAAAGGUAGCAUAAUCAUUUGUCUCUUAAUUGGAGUCUGGAAUGAAUGGUUGGAUGAAAAAUUUUCUUUCUUUGUUUUAAAUAUAAAACUUGAUUUUUGAAUCAAAAAGUUCAAAUAUUGAUAUAGGACGAGAAGACCCUAUAGAACUUUAUUCUCAUCAAAUUAAUAAACUUUUAGUUUAUUAUUUUAAGUUAGUUUGAUGAGAAUUUGGUUGGGGUGACAAAAAAAUUUUUAUAACUUUUUUUAUUUUUUUCAUUUAUGUAUGUUUUGUUGAUCUUUUAAUAGGAAAUUAAGAUUAAGUUACCUUAGGGAUAACAGCGUUAUUACUUUAGAAAGUUCAUAUUGAUGAAGUAGUUUGCGACCUCGAUGUUGGAUUAAAAUUAGUUUUAGGGGCAGAAAAUUAAAUAACUAGGUCUGUUCGACCUUUAAAUUUUUACAUGAUCUGAGUUCAAACCGGAGA